Molecule: long non-coding RNA, 434 nt
Filed under: Brachypodium distachyon (stiff brome)
Lineage: Eukaryota; Viridiplantae; Streptophyta; Magnoliopsida; Poales; Poaceae
Description: long non-coding RNA (BDIS_LNC005008)
Source: RNAcentral
ACAUACAUCUACACUUAACACCCGCAGCUAGGAAAACAUCAUCAAUGCAAUCACUAUAAGGCAUGAUGGAGUCCAAAUGUUGCAAGAGGUGGCCAUAGCUAUUGCAGGACUGAACACUAAUCAAGCACUAAGGAAUCAAAUCAGAAGAAAAUCUCCAUAUGCAUUGAACCUGUUAUGCUACCGAGGCUGUGACAUUAGAACAUAACAGAGGAUUGAAAACGGGGGUACCACAAAGAAACUUCCAACUUCAAGGAUGAUCUGGCUUCCUUUUUAAUCAAAUAAAAGGGGUACCUUUUGUUGUCUGCAAUUUGCUCAUUAUGACAAUAGAUUUAAAAUUCUUAAGGAAAAUAAACAGAUUAGGUGCCUCCAUUAUUUGCUGCAUAACUUUAUAUUUUAAUUUUUCCAGGCUUAAAAUCUGCAGAAUGCUCUUAAAA